Molecule: ribosomal RNA, 492 nt
Filed under: uncultured bacterium
Lineage: Bacteria
Description: partial 16S ribosomal RNA
Rfam family: Bacterial small subunit ribosomal RNA
Source: RNAcentral
AGUGAACGCUGGCGGUAGGCCUAACACAUGCAAGUCGAACGGCAGCACAGUAAGAGCUUGCUCUUACGGGUGGCGAGUGGCGGACGGGUGAGGAAUACAUCGGAAUCUACUUUUUCGUUGGGGAUAACGUAGGGAAACUUACGCUAAUACCGCAUACGACCUACGGGUGAAAGCAGGGGAUCUUCGGACCUUGCGCGAUUGAAUGAGCCGAUGUCGGAUUAGCUAGUUGGCGGGGUAAAGGCCCACCAAGGCGACGAUCCGUAGCUGGUCUGAGAGGAUGAUCAGCCACACUGGAACUGAGACACGGUCCAGACUCCUACGGGAGGCAGCAGUGGGGAAUAUUGGACAAUGGGCGCAAGCCUGAUCCAGCCAUACCGCGUGGGUGAAGAAGGCCUUCGGGUUGUAAAGCCCUUUUGUUGGGAAAGAAAAGCAGCAGGUUAAUACCCCGCGGUUCUGACGGUACCCAAAGAAUAAGCACCGGCUAACUUCGUG